CCUACGGGAGGCUGCAGUGGGGAAUAUUGCACAAUGGGGGAAACCCUGAUGCAGCGACGCCGCGUGAGCGAUGAAGUAUUUCGGUAUGUAAAGCUCUAUCAGCAGGGAAGAAAAUGGCGGUACCUGACUAAGAAGCACCGGCUAACUACGUGCCAGCAGCAGCGGUAAUACGUAGGGGGCAAGCGUUAUCCGGAUUUACUGGGUGUAAAGGGAGCGUAGACGGUCCUGCAAGCCAGAUGUGAAAGCCCGGGGCACAACCCCGGGACUGCAUUUGGAACUGUAAGGCUAGAGUGGCGGAGAGGCAGGCGGAAUUCCUAGUGUAGCGGUGAAAUGCGUAGAUAGUAGGAGGAACACCAGUGGCGAAGGCGGCCUGCUGGACGAUGACUGACGUUGAGGCUCGAAAGCGUGGGGAGCAAACAGGAUUAGAUACCCGUGUAGUC
Molecule: ribosomal RNA, 440 nt
Filed under: uncultured bacterium
Lineage: Bacteria
Description: partial 16S ribosomal RNA
Rfam family: Bacterial small subunit ribosomal RNA
Source: RNAcentral